This is a long non-coding RNA of Hyla sarda, 1842 nucleotides long. RefSeq lists it as uncharacterized. The transcript is spliced from 3 exons. The record is from RefSeq and is a predicted model, not a curated record. Lineage: Eukaryota; Metazoa; Chordata; Amphibia; Anura; Hylidae.
GCAUUACAGGGACAGCUUAUUUGAGAAAAGGUUUGUUGGGAUUGAAGGGGACAUCAAGAGAGCAGAAUGGAAGCUGGCAGCAGCUGUGGAAACUGGGAGGGGAAUAAAUUGUCCAGAGUAGAAGCAAAUCCCCAUAACAAACCUCUCUUGCUCUGAACAGUUCCUGAGACAGAAAGAGGUGUCAGCAGAGAGCACUGUUUUUCAGACAGAAAUUAACAACUCAACUUCAGCAGCUGAUAAGUACUGGAUUACAACAGCCGACUGUUUGUCAGCAUCUUCACAGUUCACUGGAAGUUAAGCGUGGCGGCGCACUCAAAGACAAUAUAAAAUAAAGUGCGGCCUGUUGGUGUUCAAGAGGAAGGGAAGACACCUGGAUCUGACGGUAAUACAUAGCCGGGGGUCUUCUUUAUAACUGCAGAGAUACUGUUGAGUAGAGAUCACUUAGUUGGAAAAACCAAGUCAUUGAAAAUAAAAAUGGCAAAGCGGAGAGCCAUCUCCCUGCCCCUUCCCCACGCUCUUGAAUGCCACAGGCUAUUAUACUGUAGGUCUGUAGUAUAUGAGAGGUUGGCAGCUUAUGGAUGUUGUGGGCAGCCGGGGGCAGGUGGCCGAUGAUGUUGCUGCAUUGCACUGCCUACACAUGGCCGAGAACGGCAGAGAAAGAGGUAAAGUGUGGAUGAGGGCGUAAUUACCAUCUGAGGAUAUCAUAUAUAUUACCACCUGAUGUAUUAUGGUUGAGGAGUUUGUGUAUAUUGGUAGAAAGUGCAGAGGAAGAGCAAGGAGCAAAAAAUGUCCGUGCGGCAAAUUCUGCAGAAAUCGAGUCAGGACGACAUCAUGACGGUCUGGGCUGAAUGGACAAGAAAAUAUAAAGGGGAAAUAUUUCAGUAAGAGAAGGUGUCACUUAUGAGUCACUAAAUGUAACUGCACUGCGUUUACAAAUACACAUACCGAUAUAUAUGGUCCCUAUGAAAUAUACCGAUUUAUGGUCCCUAUGAAAUAUACCGAUAUAUGGUCCCUAAGAAAUAUAUAGUGUUGAGCGGCAUAGGCCAUAUUCGAAUUCGCGAAUAUAUGGACGAAUAUUCGUCAUAUUCGGGAAUAUUCGCAUAUUCGUAACAUUCUCGUUUUAUCUUCGCAUAUGCGAAUAUUCGCGUGUGCGAAAAUUAACAUAUGCGAAAAUUCGCAUAUACAAAAAUUUGCAUAUGUGAAAAUUCGCAUAUGCAAAAAUUCGCACACCGUCUCACACAGUAGUAUUAGAGCCUUCUUACACCACAUAAGCUGGAAGCAGAGAGGGAUGAUCACUGUUAUGUGUACUGUGAAAAAAAAAUAAAUAAAUAAAAAAAAUUAAUAUUCGUAAUUACGAAUAUAUAGCGCUAAAAUUCGAAUUGCGAAUAUUCGCGAGCAACACUAGAAAUAUACCGAUAUAUGGUCCCUAUGAAAUAUACCGAUAUAUGGUCCCUAUGAAAUAUACCGAUAUAUGGUCCCUAUGAAAUAUACCGAUAUAUGGUCCUCAUGAAAUAUACCGAUUUAUGGACCCUAUGAAAUAUACCGAUUUAUGGUCUCUAUGAAAUAUACCGAUUUAUGAUCCCUAUGAAAUAUACAGAUAUAUGGUCCCUAUGCAAUAUACCGAUUUAUGGUCCCUAUGAAAUAUACAGAUAUAUGGUCCCUAUGAAAUAUACCGAUUUAUGGUCCCUAUGAAAUAUACAGAUAUAUGGUCCCUAUGAAAUACACCGAUAUAUGGUCCCUAUGAAAUAUACCGAUAUAUGGUCCCUAUGAAAUAUACCGAUAUAUGGUCCUCAUGAAAUAUACCGAUUUAUGGACCCUAUGAAAUAUACUGAUUUAUGGUCU